UACGAGGGAGAAGAAGCGAGCGGAUAUGUCGGCGCGCCCAAGAACAUCUGCGGCCACCCGCCGCCCGCAACGCCAUAAAACGCCGACCAGCUACAAACCCGCUCCCUGCCAUACCAGCUAGCUUGGAAGGGGAUGCUCGGAGGAGGGGGAAGCAUGGGUGCGCCACCGGAUGCGGCGAUAGGAUAAGCCCUAGCGAGAUUGACAGCCUUGGGCGUCGGGGGUACGGAUGCUCCACCGCAGGCGCCGCCGCCGCCGCCGCCGCCGCCCAUGGAGGUAUCUGUUUGGGAGAGGUCAAGAAAGGUUUGCCAGUCAACAGCCACAGGGCGAAUGGACAGGGAUAGUACUACCUCCCCAAAGCCAAGGCGCGGAGGCAAAAAUUCGAGGCACGGGGCGCGCGCGGGGCAAAAUACAUGCGCCCGGACUCGGACUGCAGGGAAGUGAACGGGGCUCUUCCCCCUCCCCCUCGUCGAGGCCUGCUUGCACGAGCGUCAAGCCGGAGUUAAUCGACCUGGCCGGAAAAAUCUUGGUCGUUUCUGCGUUCAUGGCUGAUCGGUCAGAUACUCCUGAUGCGCCGGCGCCACCAUGCGGGGUUCAGAGCCGGAGAUGAGUUUUGCCAAACAACCGAGAGUCCAUCUCGCACUGAAAUGUUUUGAGUUUUCUAUGCAUCCUCUGAGGAAGAAGGAAGAUAUACCUGUCGUCGUCGUCAGAACUCAGAAAGCCUGAUGGGCCUUGUUGAUCGCCCCCGCGAACUUGUGUGAUUCAGACUUCCAGAACGUUUGCGGCAACCAAAGUUGGAGUGCCAAACAACGAACACUGUUAAAGACUGUUUGCAGAAUCUGAACCCAGUUAGAUAUUCGUACAUCGAGCUAGAUUUCCUGAGUGUAUACAACAGUAUAUUCUUUUUUUCUGCAUUUCCGAAGGGAGAUAUUCAGAGCUACAUUUACAUCACACCUGCCUGAAUGAUCCAUGCUUAAUUGAAUAGCUUUUGAUUUUUCUUUUCUUGCU
Molecule: long non-coding RNA, 1005 nt
Organism: Panicum virgatum (switchgrass)
Lineage: Eukaryota; Viridiplantae; Streptophyta; Magnoliopsida; Poales; Poaceae
Exons: 2
Source: RefSeq, a predicted model, not a curated record